UGCGCGGCGCUGCCCCCGAAAUUCCCCAUCGGGCUGCUGCACGAGUUCCCGGAAUUGCGGCAUACCGGUGGCAUCAGAUGCGCGCCCUGGGCGCAGCCGGCAGGGUACACCGUCGUCGCGCCCGACACGAACAGGUACGACGGCUCCAACUUUCCCCACGUCAUGCAGGACCAGUACACCGUGCUGCAUGUCGUCGGCAACAUCGUCUGCCCAUCGAAUCCCUCGGCGAGAAGCACCUCUUCGUGGUGGCACAUGACCGAGGCCUGAUGAUAGCUGGGAGCAUGUGCUUGUUCCGGCAGGACAUGGUUAAACGUUGGCCGCGUUAGCCGUGGACAGCUCCAUGUCUUUGUUACAAAGACUCACAUCUGCCGCAUUCAGGAGCAGGACUGCAAGCUGCACUAGACGGGCGAAUGCGACAACUGGGACCGCCCCAGCAACAAGAGCAUGUAACUAUACUGCUGCAUGUAGUACGGUGUUCUUUGGGAUGUGUAGGAACUGUGGGCGUGGCAGAGCUCGACUACACCGCCCGCCCAUUCCCCGGCAAGAGCUUUGUCAACAGAUUCCACUGGCUCGCACCAGAUGUCUGAACUCCCAAACAGUUUCCAGCACCACAGAUUGCACAUACGAGAUACAUUCAUACUGCACAUUACAAGCAUAGAAGGCUAGCACAGAUAUCAAGGAACUUGUUUUAAACUCCCAAAGGGCAGCUACUAGUUAUCAGUGAAAGCACAGGCACGGCUGUGUCUGUACCCGACCCUGCAGUGUUACCGAAUUUUUAUGUUAAGUCAUCUCGGAACCAAACAGCAAGGCUGAAUUCCCUAUGCGCCUAUAUUUGAUGCUUUGCAGAGGACGGUAACUCUUUCAAGGGUAGAUGUAUACAGGUUGGCACUGCUUCAUUUGUUGGAAGGAUAUCAACUUCAGCAGCUCAAGCAUUCCAAUAAACCUGCAACGUAAGGAGAUCCUAGAAAUUCAAAUCAAGGUUGACACAAUUAUAGUUGGUCCAUACUCUGCAGCAGCUCAAGCAUCCCAGUAAAUCUGCAAGGU
This is a long non-coding RNA of Triticum dicoccoides, 1044 nucleotides long. RefSeq lists it as uncharacterized. The transcript has 4 exons. The record is from RefSeq and is a predicted model, not a curated record. Lineage: Eukaryota; Viridiplantae; Streptophyta; Magnoliopsida; Poales; Poaceae.